CCGCGUAGCACCGAGACGUAGCAAGAUGGCGGACUAGGGCAACGCGCGCGCGACUCGCACGACCGCCGCCUCGUCGUUGUUUUGCUUUUCCUCGCGCGUGUCGCUCGCCCCGCCGUGUCGCGCGACGACCAGCGCCCGCGGGAGGAGCGGCGGUAACCGCGCGGACGCGAGAGCGUUGCGAGAGAGAGAGAGAGAGAGUUUCGGAGAGAGGUUCGCGCGACAUAACCUCUACGCGCCGUCGGCGGACCAGGAGCCGUGUGUUGUCGCGGUCCUUGCCCAGCCAUGGCGGCCCCCGAGGCGAUACAGGUGAGUUCCCUGCCCCUGCCGCCCGUCCAGUACAUCAAUCUGUACACGGACGAGAACGUGCGGCGCGGACGCGCCCCGCGCCCGCCGCCGCCGAUCCACGACAGCUACUCCAUGUUCGGCAACGUGUUCAACGCCGACGACACCAUCAUCCGGCCGCUCGAGGCCCAGGGCAUCAAGCGGCUGUACCCGCAGCACUUCGACCGGCGGCGCGAGCUGAAGAAGCUCAAUCACUCGCUGCUCGUCAACUUCCUGGAUCUGAUCGACCUGCUCGUCCAGUGCCCCGACAGCCCGAGACGCGCGGAGAAGGUCGAGGACCUCAGUCUGUUGUUCAUUCACAUUCAUCACCUGCUGAAUGAAUUCCGACCGCACCAGGCGAGAGAGACGUUGCGAGUCAUGAUGGAACUGCAGCGCAGACAGCGUCACGAGACGGCGCUGCGCUUCCAGAAGCACCUUGAGAAGGUUCAAGAGAUACUGCAGCACGCCCUGCAGAUGCUCCCCGACACGGAGCUGGACUCGAAACUCGCGAUAAACACAGACGCGAUGGAGUCCGUGGACAGUUUAGGCUUCGAACAGCAAACCCAGGAUCCCUGCAGUCCGAGCGAUCGUAUUAUGUGCAAAGUGAUAGACGAUAUGCUUUCCUCGAACGGGCUCUUCUGAAGUGUCGACCCUUCACCGUCGUGCGUGCAAGUUCAUCUACCAGUGAGGACUCCGAAUUAAUUGCGUAUGUAAAUCGUGGUGGUAGAUAACACGAAAUGUUUCUACAUGAUAAUGAUGGAUAGAGGGAAAGGAAAGAUGGAAGAAUACUUUUUGAACUCACCUCACAAACAGCAAUCACAUGAAGGAGACAUAUUACACAGAUAUAUAUAUGCUAAUAAACACAAUAAUGUCCAUCAUGAGAGCUCCUGGAAGAAAAAUAUUAAUUAGUUUCUCCAGGCAGCAGCCCCCGUUUCCGCGUUCGUUUCUGAAAGGUUUCUGUAGUGGGAAAACAGGAAAAAAAUAUAUAUAUAUA
Vollenhovia emeryi is the source of this 1315-nucleotide RNA transcript. It is a transcript of the gene named mediator of RNA polymerase II transcription subunit 7, with no coding region annotated. The transcript is spliced from 4 exons. The record is from RefSeq and is a predicted model, not a curated record. NCBI's taxonomy places the organism in Eukaryota, Metazoa, Arthropoda, Insecta, Hymenoptera, Formicidae.